RNAcentral lists this ribosomal RNA (787 nucleotides) under Tridacna maxima. RNAcentral describes it as "bacterial SSU rRNA". The record is from RNAcentral. Lineage: Eukaryota; Metazoa; Mollusca; Bivalvia; Cardiida; Cardiidae.
UACGGUUGCAAAGCUGAAACUUAAAGGAAUUGACGGAAGGGCACCACCAGGAGUGGAGCCUGUGGCUUAAUUUGACUCAACACGGGAAACCUCACCCGGUCCGGACACUGGAAGGAUUGACAGACUAAAGCUCUUUCUUGAUUCAGUGGGUGGUGGUGCAUGGCCGUUCUUAGUUGGUGGAGUGAUUUGUCUGGUUAAUUCCGAUAACGAACGAGACUCUCGCCUGCUAAAUAGUUUUCCAUACGUUACUUUAUGGAACCUAAAACUUCUUAGAGGUACAAGUGGCGUUUAGCCACACGAAACAGAGCAAUAACAGGUCUGUGAUGCCCUUAGAUGUCCGGGGCCGCACAUGUGCUACAAUGAAUGCAUCAACGUGUAUCAGCCUCGCCCGAAAGGGUUGGGGAAUCCGCUGAACGGCAUUCUCAGUAGGGAUUGGGGAUUGCAAUUAUUUCCCAUGAACACGGAAUUCCCAGUAGGCGCCAGUCAUCAGCUGGCGUCGAUUGAGUCCCUGCCCUUUGUACACACCGCCCGUCGCUACUACCGAUCGCUCUUGUUAAUGAGCUUGUCGGAUUGGACCCGGUGAGCAGUCGUUGCGCUUCAUCUCCUCGCGGGGUGGGCCUUCGUCUGCGAGCUUUGGUGUAUGCCGAGAAGAUCGGCAAAUUAUCUGGAGUAAAAARKSAAAAGAGAAGCCGCCGAGUGGCGAGUUGUUGAAAGUAGCCCAGCGAAACAACGGAACAAACCCUCGGAAUAAGAAAGAAAAAGACGUGCUGUACGAAAAAGUGCAACG